This 507-nucleotide ribosomal RNA is filed under the name uncultured Archaeorhizomycetes. RNAcentral's name for it is "eukaryotic LSU rRNA". It matches the Rfam family "Eukaryotic large subunit ribosomal RNA", at positions 85 to 593 of the family's 3401-position model. The record is from RNAcentral. Lineage: Eukaryota; Fungi; Ascomycota; Archaeorhizomycetes.
AGUGGCGAAUGAAGCGGGAAAAGCUCAAGUUUGAAAUCUGGCGGGCGACCGUCCAGAGUUGUAAGCUGGAGAGGUGUCGUCGGAUGCGGUCCGGGCUCAAUUUCCUUGGAACAGGAGGUCAUGGAGGGUGAGAACCCCGUAUGUGGCUUGGGUGCCGUGGUCCUUGUGACGUAUCCUCUAAGAGUCGGGUUGUUUGGGAAUGCAGCUCAAAAUGGGUGGUAAAUUUCAUCUAAAGCUAAAUAUUGGUGAGAGACCGAUAGCAAACAAGUAGAGUGAUCGAAAGAUGAAAAGUACUUUGAAAAGAGAGUGAAACAGUACGUGAAAUUGUUGAAAGGGAAGCGUUUGGCAUCAGCCCAUGGCGGCGGUCGAACAUCUGGGCUUCUGCCCAGUGCACUCGGCAGUCGCCGGGCCAGCGUCGGUUCCACCUGCUGGAGAAAGGCCUUGGGGAAGUGGCACUCCCUUGUGGAGUGUGUUAUAACCCAUGGCGUCAUGCGGCUUGGUGGGACC